Molecule: ribosomal RNA, 253 nt
Filed under: uncultured bacterium
Lineage: Bacteria
Description: partial 16S ribosomal RNA
Rfam family: Bacterial small subunit ribosomal RNA
Source: RNAcentral
UACGUAGGGUGCAAGCGUUAAUCGGAAUUACUGGGCGUAAAGGGCGCGUAGGCGGUUGGAUAAGUCAGCUGUGAAAACCACGGGCUUAACUCGUGGCCUGCAGUUGAGACUGUCUGGCUAGAGUCCGGAAGAGGAGAGUGGAAUUCCUGGUGUAGCGGUGAAAUGCGCAGAUAUCAGGAAGAACACCUAUGGCGAAGGCAGCUCUCUGGGACGGUACUGACGCUGAGACGCGAAAGCGUGGGGAGCGAACAGG